GGGGAACCAGCGCCGGAUAAAAACGGGGAAGGGAGGGAGGUGAACAGAGCUGAGGGAAACCGGGAAAAGGGGAGCGAUAGAAACCGGAGUAGGGGAAGCCGGGCUCAGGGGAAAAGGGGGUGUUGGAGAGUGGUAGAGCCGGGCUGAGAGAAAAACCAAGCAGGGGAAGCGGCGAUCCGGGGAGAACGGAGAGAGGGAGACCGAGGGCUGUGGGGGUAAGGGGAACCAAAGGGGCUGAAGCGAAAUCGAGGGGAGGGGCAGGUGAAAAUGGAGCCAUGCGAAGGCCGAUGAGGGGGGAAACGGGUAAAAAUGGGGGCGGGAGAAAUAGGUUGGAGGGAAUACUGGCCGAGAAGAAACCUGGGGAGAGCUGGGCUUAGGGGAAAAUGGGGAGGGGGUGGAAGGAAGGUGUAAUAACCGGGUGCUGGGGAGGACGUAAGAAUUGGGGGGUGCGGCGAGGGUCAAGGCUAGGGUAAAACAAGGGGGGCUACUCAAUGGCUCCGGUAAUGGGAGAGGGAAGUGAGGAGAACACGGGGCGGUGGGGAGAGGAGGGCAGGGUGAAAACCGGAGUGGGGGUGGGAACGAGAUAAAAAACGGGGCAGGAGCGAUUCGGAAGAAGACUGUCCCCUUACCUACCUACGGCGACAGCCUCGCCUGUCCCCGUCCCCCUGAGAAACCUGCUCUCCCUGUCUACCCGCAUAGCCUCAAGAAAUGGCUCGCUUGGGUCAGACGCCCCCUUUUUAACAUUCCAGGGCCAGGGCAGGAGUCAUCAUGGAGGCUUUUCAUGCCUGAAAGACCCCAUUUCUUAGUUGUCCGGUCCCCAGUAGUAUCAGUGGCUUGGGGAUUUCUUACUGAGCUCAGCUCAUUGUCCCCAAAAUGCCUCCCCUUACCCCCAACUCGAGCGC
This 902-nucleotide long non-coding RNA is filed under the name Homo sapiens (human). Its description in RNAcentral is "HSALNT0195719". Lineage: Eukaryota; Metazoa; Chordata; Mammalia; Primates; Hominidae. The record is from RNAcentral.